Portunus trituberculatus (swimming crab) is the source of this 1993-nucleotide long non-coding RNA. RefSeq lists it as uncharacterized. The record is from RefSeq and is a predicted model, not a curated record. The transcript is spliced from 8 exons. Lineage: Eukaryota; Metazoa; Arthropoda; Malacostraca; Decapoda; Portunidae.
UGUGUGUGUGUGUGUUUGUGUGAGUGUGUGUGCGCGUGCGUUUGUGUGUUUGUCUUCGUUAUCAAGGGGGAGCCCACCCACCUUACCCAACCCAACACUCGCUCCCAACCGAAGGAUGGGUUUGUGGUAGGGUGGGUGGUUGUGGUUGUAGUUGUGUGUGUGUGUUUGUGUGAGUGUGUGUGCGCGUGCGUUUGUGUGUUUGUCUUCGUUAUCAAGGGGGAGCCCACCCACCUGACCCAACCCAACACUCGCUCCCAACCGAAGGAUGGGUUUGUGGUAGGGUGGGUGGUUGUGGUUGUAGUUGUGUGUGUGUGUGUGUGUGUGUGUGUGUGUGUGUGUGUGUGUGUGUGUGUGUGUGUGUGUGCGUGCGUGUGUGUGUUUGUGUGUGUGUAAUAAUAAUAGUAAUAAAGGGUUUAUUGAGACAAGCAGCUCUGUAGCUGAAAAUAAACAUUUUACAGGAGAAAUAUCCUAAUAUUACAUGCUUAAAAUUCAUCACAAAUUUAGUCAGUGUCCACGAGUUAAUUAUUUUGAUUAUUGUGGGCACUGCACUAUUUUUGUAUGUGUGUAUCCGGGCCGGGCACGUAUGGGGAGCGGCUUCUGGUGGCGGACACUGUCGCUGGGAGGGGGAGCUGCCGGAGGGAGUAGGCUCCUGUGGCGCCAGUGGAGAAGCUUUGUGGGAAGCUGGUGGAGGAGGUGUUGGUAGCGAGUGUGAAGGGUGGUGAGGUGUAGGGUGUGGAGGGCCUCCUGGCUCAGGCGUGUAGAUGGGAGCAGGAGAAGAAAGAACAAAGGAAGAGGACGAAGAAGAAAGGAAAAAUGGAAGUGGAAGAAGAGGAGGAGCCAAGCCACAAUAUUUAGGUCCGCAGAAAACGACACGCUGAUUUAUUUGAAGUCAAGGAUGGAGAUUAAAACGGCCUUUAAAAACACCACACCCGUUUUGUCCACCGCCAUCACCACCUUCUCCCAGAUCAAGGAAGUGUAUUACGGACUCACACAAAAGGAAGAGGUCCGCAGAAAACGACACGCUGAUUUAUUUGAAGUCAAGGAUGGAGAUUAAAACGGCCUUUAAAAACACCACACCCGUUUUGUCCACCGCCAUCACCACCUUCUCCCAGAUCAAGGAAGUGUAUUACGGACUCACACAAAAGGAAGAGGUCCGCAGAAAACGACACGCUGAUUUAUUUGAAGUCAAGGAUGGAGAUUAAAACGGCCUUUAAAAACACCACACCUGUUUUGUCCACCGCCAUCACCACCUUCUCCCAGAUCAAGGAAGUGUAUUACGGACUCACACAAAAGGAAGAGGUCCGCAGAAAACGACACGCUGAUUUAUUUGAAGUCAAGGAUGGAGAUUAAAACGGCCUUUAAAAACACCACACCCGUUUUGUCCACCGCCAUCACCACCUUCUCCCAGAUCAAGGAAGUGUAUUACGGACUCACACAAAAGGAAGAGGUCCGCAGAAAACGACACGCUGAUUUAUUUGAAGUCAAGGAUGGAGAUUAAAACGGCCUUUAAAAACACCACACCCGUUUUGUCCACCGCCAUCACCACCUUCUCCCAGAUCAAGGAAGUGUAUUACGGACUCACACAAAAGGAAGAGCAGUUGUAUUGCACAGCCAAGGAGUUUGUCACAGCAUACCUAAGAAUGCACUUUAUUGUGUCUUGCAGGUUAGCACCCCUAUCACACAAAAAUGUGCAAUCUGAAAUGGAAAAGAAAAAUCUGAUACCAAAUCUAACACACACAAUCAUUCACAAAUAAGCACCACUCCAAUGCUUACCAUAAACUAAUUUGAAGCAAUAUCCCACUCAAUUAAAAACUCAAGAAAACUGCUUGUCCAGCUUUAUAUUCACCCUCGCGUUGGAUCUGGUAAAUUGAGGUUGUUAUUUAAGCCUCAUUAUCACUGCAAUAAAGUACUAAGCAUUAACCUGAACCACGUGACUCCUAUACUGAUCUCCGUUAAUAAUGAAAUACUAGCUUUGAUAAGCACACUACACUAA